GUUCUCAUACUCAUGUCACAUGAGAACUCAUGGUUGGAAUAAUGCAAAGUAGUCCUUUGACCUGAGGCAUCACAGUUGUCUUGUGGUUAAGUCCUUGAUCUUUUAUUAUGUCAAAGUCACCCCAUCGGGAUGUCCAUGGCAUCGUUGGGGUUAAGCCACUUAGCCAUGGAGGCAAGUGAAUGCGCAACAAGGGAUCUCUAACCUUCAAACUGUUUGAGGGAGAAUACUCUAUGAUAUGAUUUAGAAUCUCUGGCUAGAGUAUGAAUGAGAUUUAGAAAAGUCGUUCUAAAUCACAUUCAAGGUAAUUAUAUAAGCACACGAAUCACAUUGGAUAGUAGACAUGAAUAAAUAAACUAUCAAACCAAACAAU
RNAcentral lists this long non-coding RNA (370 nucleotides) under Malus domestica (apple). RNAcentral describes it as "long non-coding RNA (MDOM_LNC019354)". Lineage: Eukaryota; Viridiplantae; Streptophyta; Magnoliopsida; Rosales; Rosaceae. The record is from RNAcentral.